AGCAGUGGGGAAAUGAUUUUUCUUAUUUAUCAGGGGUCUUAUGACCAGCAAAAUGCAACAGAAGGUCGCUACUCAUUGAAUUUCCAGAAGGCAAGAAAAUCCGCCAACCUUGUCAUCUCCGCUUCACAACUGGGGGACUCAGCAAUGUACUUCUUCUCAGUAUCACUGUGUCUUAUAACACCGACAAGCUCAUCUUUGGGACUGGGACCAGAUUACAAGUCUUUCCAAUAUCCAGAACCCUGACCCUGCCGUGUACCAGCUGAGAGAC
This 268-nucleotide long non-coding RNA is filed under the name Homo sapiens (human). RNAcentral describes it as "non-protein coding lnc-ABHD4-12:9". The record is from RNAcentral. Lineage: Eukaryota; Metazoa; Chordata; Mammalia; Primates; Hominidae.